UCCUCGGUAGCUCAGUGGUAGAGUGGUCGGAUGUUAACCUAUUGGUCGUAGGUUCAAUUCCUACUUGAGGAG
Non-coding RNA from Lactuca sativa (garden lettuce), 72 nucleotides. NCBI's taxonomy places the organism in Eukaryota, Viridiplantae, Streptophyta, Magnoliopsida, Asterales, Asteraceae. The record is from the annotation of a RefSeq genome assembly.